UGACUUUCAAUAGAUCGCAGCGAGGGAGCUGCUCUGCUACGUACGAAACCCCGACCCAGAAGCAAGUCGUCUACGAAUGGUUUAGCGCCAGGUUCCCCACGAACGUGCGUUGCGUGACGGGCGAGAGGGCGGCCGCCUUUCCGGCCGCGCCCCGUUUCCCAGGACAAAGGGCACUCCGCACCGGACCCUGGUCCCAGCGCGGGGCGGGGCGGCCCGCCGGCGGGGACCGGCUAUCCGAGGCCAACCGAGGCGCCGCGGGGCUGCCGUAUCGUUCCGCCUGGGCGGGAUUCUGACUUAAGAGGCGUUCAGUCAUAAUCCCACAGAUGGUAGCUUCGCCCCAUUGGCUCCUCAGCCAAUGGGAU
This 362-nucleotide long non-coding RNA is filed under the name Homo sapiens (human). Its description in RNAcentral is "long non-coding RNA NONHSAT163027.1". The record is from RNAcentral. Lineage: Eukaryota; Metazoa; Chordata; Mammalia; Primates; Hominidae.